RNAcentral lists this ribosomal RNA (229 nucleotides) under uncultured bacterium. RNAcentral's name for it is "partial 16S ribosomal RNA". It matches the Rfam family "Bacterial small subunit ribosomal RNA", at positions 104 to 334 of the family's 1533-position model. The record is from RNAcentral.
CGGGGUGAGUAAUGUCUGGGAAACUGCCUGAUGGAGGGGGGUAACUACUGGAAACGGUAGCUAAUACCGCAUAACGUCUUCGGACCAAAGUGGGGGACCUUCGGGCCUCGCGCCAUCGGAUGUGCCCAGAUGGGAUUAGCUAGUAGGUGGGGUAAUGGCUCACCUAGGCGACGAUCCCUAGCUGGUCUGAGAGGAUGACCAGCCACACUGGAACUGAGACACGGUCCAG